AUUUGACAUAUCAUCAGUGGAGUUUGUUGAUGCUAAUAAUAAUGAGAUUCCUAUGGAUGUAUUUUAUGCUGAAACUACUGCAAAACAAGACUACUAUGAAGGAACCAUCAGGUGCCUUGGCAGUCUUGACAGUAACUUAAAAGGAAAAUACUUAGUAACAGUAGAAGCAAGUAACAAAGGAGAUGUAUCAGCAACAAUUCAGAUAGCGAUUUACACAAUCGACAAAUCUUAUCGCGUCGGCCUCCGUUUUGACAGUUCUGUUGCAGAGGUCAAUGCAAACUUGGACCAAAUUAAAG
Molecule: long non-coding RNA, 296 nt
Organism: Brienomyrus brachyistius
Lineage: Eukaryota; Metazoa; Chordata; Actinopteri; Osteoglossiformes; Mormyridae
Exons: 3
Source: RefSeq, a predicted model, not a curated record